This 2976-nucleotide long non-coding RNA is filed under the name Strigops habroptila (Kakapo). RNAcentral's name for it is "lncRNA (ENSSHBG00005003413.1)". The record is from RNAcentral. Lineage: Eukaryota; Metazoa; Chordata; Aves; Psittaciformes; Psittacidae.
UUUUUUUUUUUGGCCAUCAUUUUUCUGGCUGGAGAAUUGCACUGAGGACCCUUUAUAUCCAGAUCUCCCACUAACACUUUUCAAAUUCUUCCUGAAAACCAAGAUUUGCAGUCUUCAACAUAUUCACAUGGCUUUAGUGACGAAGUUGAUUUCACAAAGACUGCAUAAUCAGUCCCCCAGUGCCUACUGUGUCCCAUUAUUUCUAGGCGGGUUUUGCUCACUCUUCUUUUUGUUCAUAACUAGAAUUCUGUAAAACAAAUUCUUUAGCACUGCAGAUACUAGAAUCACUUUUAAGCAGAGCCUUCACUUUCAAAACAUGUUUUUUUGGAUGAUCAGUUGGUUACCUCGGCAUAUUUAGGAGGAUCUAAGCUAACACUCUAUCUAAACUAUAUAUUGAGAGGCAGUGAUUUGCUUAUACUUGUCAAAAACUCCUAACUAUCAAUAUCAUUUCUCACAGGACUAGUUUAAAUGACACAACUUCUGUGAAGUUAUUUUUAACUUCUACUUCCUGAUUGCAUACAGACCUAGCAUUCUGGCUAUGGUACACAGCUCUGAAAAACAUUGCCCUGGCUUUUGUUAUAUACUUUCCAGGACUGAAUGCACUCACUUUAAAUAUACUGGCCUUUAUCUGCAGCUGAAGAAGAGUGUUUGUGUCUCAACAGCUGCUUAAACAUAUGCUUUAUCUGUAAAAUUCUGCAUAUCAUCCUUUUGUCAGUGACUCUUCCUCAUUUUUCCCCUGUGUGUUUGAUCCCCUCUCUUUUAAAGACUGUCAAAUUCUAUGGAUUGUUGGUGAGGAGAAGAAAGAGAAGGGAGACACCUUGUCCAAAAUCUGUGAAUAACAGAUUAUUUAAAGCUCCUUCUAUCAUUUCAACCCUAUUCCUCCACAUGAGAUGCCAUGUGCUACUCAAGCCUACUACUGCUUUCUGCCUUCUCCAAAUUACCACCAUGUCAUUAUUUGCCACCACUUGCUCAUUCCCCCAGACAUCUUUGCACCUACUUCCCUGUGCAGAUACAGGUUUCAAUGGACUUAUCCCCAGCCAAUUUAUCAAAUUCCUCUCUGGCUUCCAUUAUACCUUCAGACUUCACAGCACUCUGUGGCAAAAAGUUUCACAAGAACUUAAAGAUAAAUAACAUAUAAUUCAGAUGCUUGAGUAGUUUCACUUAACUAAUAUUUUAACUAUUCUUCCUUUCUCCUCCCACACAAACAAUUCAAAAACUUUCAUAGUAAGGUUUUUACAAAUAUAAUUCCGAAGCAUUAUCACCACCCUUUUACAUGUCGCCAAAACAAAUCGUUUUUUGAUCACCUUCAAUGUGCAAAUUACAUACAAAAACCAUUUUUUUGUGCUAAAUGUUGUAGGGAAAAAAUAUUUUAAAACUUUGUUGAGCAAUUUAAAAAGGGAAAAAUCCAAAGAUAAUAAGAUAAUUUUGGAGGACACAUCUGUUUUCCUGUAUUCAAAUUCGAGUGUCUGCUUCAGAUGUUAUUAAUUAUCCCCAUGACAGAGAGAAGAUAUAACAGUGGUUCUAUGAAAAUACCUGGCUGUGUGGCCGUCCCACACACUUUGAGCAGCUGCACAUGUAAGAUCCAAGUUCCCAUGACAUGAACAUAAACCAACAGCUUUCAAAAGUUAGUCUAAAAAUUAAAGGUUUGUGUAGGAGCUAAACAGUAAUAUUUAGAAAACCACAAAAUAGUAAGUAAUUCUCAUUAUUACAUUUCUAACUGUGGUAACUGCCAUGUCUCCUGCUCUCCGUAAAUCCAUUUUACAUAAGCUAUCUGGAAAGGACAGAAAAGAAGAACUCUACCCAUUGACUUUAAAGGUGCAGAAGAACAUGAGAUAGAUGAAAUUGUAUGCUCAGGCCUUGAUAAUGGCAAAACAGCCAAAGUUGCAUAAAGUCUCAAAACAGACAAUUCCUUGAGAAUAGGUUCUACAAAAUUCUACAAUAUUUCUGCAGAAUGCUAGGUUUAAGCCAUGUCCUAUAAUGUGCCUAUUUUCUCAGCUUUUAGGCAAUUUUUUUUUUAUGUCAUUGUGAAUAUCUUUACCCUUAAAAGUUUUCAUCCUUUUUUGACCUGCUGUUCUUUGAACAGCACUGAACUGGAAGAGGUUUUGCAUAUAGAAGCGUAUUUCUCUGGUUGCUAAGUUUUCUGUAUUGCAGUUUCACUGACUGGUCACUUUACCUUAGGGGACUGAAUGCCGCUACAUCAUUUAUUCAUCUAUACGUCUUUCUACUUCCCAGUCAUUCUCCGCAUCAUAUGCUUCUAUGCUUCAUAAAGUCAAUGAGAGUUUUGCCAUUGACUCUGGGGAGAACAAGAUCAAACUUUACUUCAUUUUCCCUCUAAUCUAAUUGAUCUUUUCAGUCUCCUCUCACACUGCAACAUCAGAUCUUCCCAAACUUCUCAUUAUUUUUGCCACAGCUUUGUUGCAAUUAGCUCAUUCUGUGAUCAGUAGAAAAAAAUCCCCAUUGGUAACUUGUGAGGGUUCAGUAAUUCCAGCCCAGAUGACUUUAUGGAAGUACUAUCACUUUGCUUUUAUUUUGAUUUCUGUCUGAACCCCUUUCCAAGAUAUUCUGGGGUUUUAUUAUCAUAAUUUCGGAGAAGAGAAACUCAGGCACAGAAGAGUUAUGUGAUUGAUCCAAAGUCUCUCUGCAAGUCAGCAAAUCAAAUAGAAACAAAUCUACUGCAUCGGGCUUACAUCUUCUCUAGUCUUUUAGAAACAGCAAUAAGUUUCUUUGAAUAUUAUUUUUCACCCUACUUGAUGGAUAAAAGGCACAAAUAACACACUUAGCUAAAUCAACUAAGUUAAUUUACAAUGAUGUAUAAAUUAGACUGACCUCUGAGACUGGGCUACUUCUCCUUCCACCAAAUAUACUGUGAGUUUUCCACUGUGGCGCUGUGGCAGCAAAGAAUUCUGACAGAACAAAACUGUCCUCUAAUUUCGGUGUACAUUAAAAAAAAAAAAAAAAGUCAAGGAAUUCAUUCCC